UGAUUGUAACCUGCAGUGAGCAGUGGCUGUGGGUGAGAGUGAAGUGGCGGGUUCUUGGGAAUCACCCGGAGCCCCAGCUGUCCGAACUGUAUCUAGGAACUCGCUGCAGGGUGACUGAAAAGUCCAUGGGCUACUAUGAGUAUUUUUAUCCUCUCUCUCAAUGUGGAAUCAAAACUGAACAGUUCUGGGAAUCUGCUGUCACGUCUUUACAAGCUGCGAUCAAGUACACAGUGAAUGCUGUCGCCAAGAGCCAGCCAAUGGAAAGGGAGGUACGCUCAUGGGGUAUUCUCAUUGAAAGUUCAAUCAAUUAUGAACCAGAAAAUUCAGAUUUCUGGGGUUUCUUACCAAUAUCAUGCUAUAUUCGAAGAUCGUUUACAUUAAAGUAUGUGAAAAAGGAGGUGGCCCAUAGUAGUGGUGAGUCCAAAAAGUCAGCGAGAAAGAAGAGCACAACUUCACAUGAGGCAAAGAGCUCGGUGAGCCAGCCAGAACGGACGGUGAGCAAUAUUGCCCGACCACAUCCAUUUUCUCCCUCCCGAUUAAGUAUGGAAAUUUACCUGUGAAUUCUGGACGGAGAGGCAGCCACGCUAACCCCAGAACUGUGGCUCCUGAGGACCUGCCUGUUGGAGAAUGGAUAAAUGUCCCAUUUUAAAAUUUUCAUUUUAAAUUUUCUCUGCAGUCAGUAUUUAUGAACAUUUUGGGGUGUGUGUGUGUGUGUGUGUGUGUGUGUGUGUGGAGAGCUUCUUCAGAAUUUAAACGUAAUGAAGAUUCCAUUUUCUCCCUCCCGAUUAAGUAUGGAAAUUUACCUGUGAAUUCUGGACGGAGAGGCAGCCACGCUAACCCCAGAACUGUGGCUCCUGAGGACCUGCCUGUUGGAGAAUGGAUAAAUGUCCCAUUUUAAAAUUUUCAUUUUAAAUUUUCUCUGCAGUCAGUAUUUAUGAACAUUUUGGGGUGUGUGUGUGUGUGUGUGUGUGUGUGUUUGUGGAGAGCUUCUUCAGAAUUUAAACUUGUAAUGAAGAAUAUUUUAAAAUAAAG
This 1032-nucleotide long non-coding RNA is filed under the name Fukomys damarensis (Damara mole-rat). RNAcentral's name for it is "lncRNA (ENSFDAG00000033028.1)". The record is from RNAcentral. Lineage: Eukaryota; Metazoa; Chordata; Mammalia; Rodentia; Bathyergidae.